GACGAACGCUGGCGGCGUGCUUAACACAUGCAAGUCGAACGGAAAGGCCCUGCUUUUGUGGGGUUCUCGAUUGGCGAACGGGUGAGUAACACGUGAGUAACCUGCCCUUGACUUUGGGAUAACUUCAGGAAACUGGGGCUAAUACCGGAUAGGAUCUCCUGCUGCAUGGUGGGGGUUGGAAAGUUUCGGCUGUUGGGGAUGGACUCGCGGCUUAUCAGCUUGUUGGUGGGGUAGUGGCUUACCAAGGCUUUGACGGGUAGCCGGCCUGAGAGGGUGACCGGCCACAUUGGGACUGAGAUACGGCCCAGACUCCUACGGGAGGCAGCAGUGGGGAAUAUUGCACAAUGGGCGGAAGCCUGAUGCAGCAACGCCGCGUGCGGGAUGACGGCCUUCGGGUUGUAAACCGCUUUCGCCUGUGACGAAGCGUGAGUGACGGUAAUGGGUAAAGAAGCACCGGCUAACUACGUG
RNAcentral lists this ribosomal RNA (468 nucleotides) under uncultured bacterium. Its description in RNAcentral is "partial 16S ribosomal RNA". It matches the Rfam family "Bacterial small subunit ribosomal RNA", at positions 28 to 507 of the family's 1533-position model. The record is from RNAcentral.